UCCAUCUGUUGAAACAUUGUGGGAAAUGGUGAUGAAAAGACACGUUCUGCCCAAGGGCUGCUGGCAACAUCCACAAGGCAACAGUUGUUAACAGUUUCAUGGAUUUCCUCCCAGUAAAGGAAGCUUCAAUACAUAAUUUUUGAGGUUGGUGAUUCUCAACUGGGAGCUAUUUUGACCCCCCACUCCCCACCUGGCAGUGUCUGGAGACAGUUUUGAUUGUCACAACUGUGAGGAGUGGGUGCUACUGGUAUCACUGGGUAGAGGCCAGCAAUGCUACUAAACAUCCUACAGUGCACAGGACACCCCACAGCAAAGGAUUAUCUGGCCCAAAAUGUUAACUGUGCUGAGGCUGAGAAACCCUGAUUCAAAUAACUGUGCUCAUAUAAUAAAACUGUGUAUCCUCUUUUGAUUUAAUUUUUGCAGGUACUCAAGGAGAGUGUAAACAAGAUACCUAGCAGAAGGGCUAAAAGAGUAAGAAUCACACACCCAGCGGUGUGGGAGGAGGCGACUGUGAACUGAACCACAGAAGGCACCAAAUAAAUGGACCAGGAGGGAAGACACUGAAUGGAAAGGGCUUCUACGGACAGAGCCUGCAGCUAGCCCACCAGGCCCCAAGGAGUCUAGAGUAGCCAGCUCCACCACUGCCAGGUGGGGAGAGGCAACAACAGGAAUGCUUCAGAUGAUGGGAAGCUAUGCCACCUUGCUGCCUCCAGAUACAACCCAAAUUCCUCAUCCUGGUUGAAAACCUCCUACAACCUACUCCUCAAAUACUUUCCAGCAUUUUCUCCCUUCCACGGACUCAGGAAACUGCCCUACUGACUGGGUCUGGGAGGCAUGGCACUGCUGUGUGGUGUAGCAUGGUGCAAGGGCAGCUGCAGGGGGAACAAGCCACUCAUUUGUGCAUGGCUCCCACUGAACAUGUGUAGACUCUGGACCAAGUAGGCUCUGAGUGCCGCCUUUCUUCUGUGCCUGCAUCCCUCUGUCCACCACAUCCUCCCACUCUCCUGCCUGCUUCACCUGCAGCAGCAGAUGUGAAUCUCUAAUUCACUGGUAAAUAGGAGACUCCUGGUGGGAAACUCAUAUUCAUGUCUGGUGACCUAAUCCAAAACUGGGUCUCUGCAGCUCUAGGGAGAGGGAAGGAUGUAUUUCUCCCUUAGGCCAAGGCGAUGCUCCCCAUGGGUGCUCAGGCACUCACUCCUGGUUUUCUUUCAGGAGUCUUAAGACACAACUCUUCAGUCUUUUACUGCAUCUGUAACUUUUCUCUAGCUACUGACCCUUCUCAUCAGCAUUAAAUACAUUCCUACGUCCUCGCUUCUUAAAAAGCCCUUCUUUAAUCGCCAUCACCUUUCAGCUACCAGUCUCUCUCUUCCCUGUUAUAGGGAAGAGAAAUGUACUGAGAGCCACGCAUAUGGGAGCCUCUGUCCACCUUCAACCCACUGCGACUGGGCUCUCCCCAGUGCCCCACUGAACUGCUUUUGCCAAAGUCACUGCACACCUUCUCAGGGACACACCUAAUGGACAAUUCUCAGCUCCUAGCCUUCUUGAUUUCUAGUGGCACUUCCCCACCUCUCAGCUGAGCUCUCUGCUCGGCUCCCAUGAGCCUCAUGCACUUGUUUUCCCUUCUGGCUGCUCAGGCGCAUCCUCACUGGAGAUCCCUCCUUUUGCUCUGCCUGUCGUCACAUGCGCUCACCAGGGUGUAGUCUCAGGACCUCUUCCACAUUCCACAGCCCCAGUCCUCAUCAACAUUGCAGAUACCCAAAUCUCCAGCCCACACUAUUCUGGGAGUCAGAUCUGACAACCAAGUACUCCUUGGACAUUUCAAUGUGGUUGAAUACCCCAACUUUGAAAAGCCCCAAACAGAUCUCAUUAACACUCCUAUUUAUACUCCUCCUCUCACCCUUAACCCUAGUCCAUUCCUUCUCUUUUAUGCUUCUUCUCUAUGAAUAACACAAAUAUUAUCCACCCUUGUGUUAGAAAUUCCAGCAUCAUCCUUGACUCCUCUUUUUAUCUCAAUUGAUACUAAGUUCCAUUAGCUACAGCCCUGCAAUCUGUCCCAUCAGUUCAUUUCCAUGCAUUCUACAGCCACUGCCUAACUCAGGCCCUUGCCCUCAGCAAGCUACUGGCUUUACUGAAGGUUUCUUCUGGCCGGUCUGAAGCUGCCCUUAAUAAACAAUUUGCACAUAAACUCCCUUGAACUUGAUGUAUAUAUAGACAUGUCUUGGUUCUCAAAUAGCCAGCAUUUCCAGGAGAUGGGUCAUCCUAUUAGUUCUGGGACCUGAUGCAAUGCUGAAUACAUACAAAGCACUCAGUCAAAAAGUUUCCAAAUAUGCAGCUGUACUGUCCCGAUUUUAUUUAAUUCUAUGCCUCUUUAAAGAUUACUAGGGACUGUAACAAGGACAAAUUUGACUCACCCAAAUUUAGCCAUCUCAGCUCAGCAAAGUAAGUAGGUGCCAGAGAGCUGGGAAAGGGGAUCUCACUAGUCUCUGCAGCCCUUUGGCCAUUCCUACCAGAGCUCGGCCUUUCCCUCCCAGAGAACAGAAGGUUGGCUUGAACCAAAGUGUGACAGAAGGAACUUCUGGCUUUUGAGCUUCCAUGAGCCAGAUCCCAGCAACGUAGGGGAUUUUAAAUGUAAUUUUCACUCUGUAUGAAUUAAACUUUAGAGCUAACUUUGAAACCUAUCUCCCCCAUAUUUGAUGUCACUCUCACAAACCACUGGUUAUCCAAACAAACAAACAGCAACAACAAAAAAACCCAGCUGAAAUGGCACUUAAUUUCAGAGGAACAGUAGCACAAUUCUUGUUUAGUACUUGAUGAGUACUGGGGAACUGGAAUCCAGACUCUGGCACCUACCAGCUGCUUGACUGUGGGAAAGUCAAUUUCUUCAUAAAGAAAAUGGGAUGUAAUAUCCACUCUCCACCUGGGGUAAGGAUUAACUCAAAGGAGUGGUUAUGAAAGUAACAUACCAAGGUGAGAUGUUAAUACCAACAUCUUAAAUUACUGAGUUACACUCCAGAUAGUAAGAAGACUGGUGAACAGCAGCCUCAUUACUCAUCUUUUCUAAUUCUUAGACAUUGAGACUUUCUAGUUAUGUCAUAGGACAUCUAAACCUAGUUAGAAGAAUUUAUGCAUAUUUCUGGCCUUCUUUUACUUACCUGUAGUAAACGUAUCUUGUAAAGUUUCUCUUUCUCCAUAUUAUACCGCCUGUCUAGGUCGUCCUAAAAAUUGGAAAAGGCUGUAAUUAU
Long non-coding RNA from Rhinopithecus roxellana (golden snub-nosed monkey), 3242 nucleotides. RefSeq lists it as uncharacterized. NCBI's taxonomy places the organism in Eukaryota, Metazoa, Chordata, Mammalia, Primates, Cercopithecidae. The record is from RefSeq and is a predicted model, not a curated record. The transcript has 4 exons.